GACGAACGCUGGCGGCGUGCUUAACACAUGCAAGUCGAACGGAAAGGCCCUGCUUUUGUGGGGUGCUCGAGUGGCGAACGGGUGAGUAACACGUGAGUAACCUGCCCUUGACUUUGGGAUAACUUCAGGAAACUGGGGCUAAUACAGGAUAGGAUAUCCUGCUGCAUGGUGGGGGUUGGAAAGUUUCGGCGGUUGGGGAUGGACUCGCGGCUUAUCAGCUUGUUGGUGGGGUAGUGGCUGACCAAGGCUUUGACGGGUAGCCGGCCUGAGAGGGUGACCGGCCACAUUGGGACUGAGAUACGGCCCAGACUGCUACGGGAGGCAGCAGUGGGGAAUAUUGCACAAUGGGCGGAAGCCGGAUGCAGCAACGCCGCGUGCGGGAUGACGGCCUUCGGGGUGUAAACCGCUUUCGCCUGUGACGAAGCGUGAGUGACGGUAAUGGGUAAAGAAGCACCGGCUAACUACGUG
Molecule: ribosomal RNA, 468 nt
Filed under: uncultured bacterium
Lineage: Bacteria
Description: partial 16S ribosomal RNA
Rfam family: Bacterial small subunit ribosomal RNA
Source: RNAcentral